Long non-coding RNA from Mus musculus (house mouse), 671 nucleotides. RefSeq annotates it as predicted gene, 39909. Lineage: Eukaryota; Metazoa; Chordata; Mammalia; Rodentia; Muridae. The transcript has 5 exons. The record is from RefSeq and is a predicted model, not a curated record.
GGGAAGGUUGAGAACCACUGUACUAGAGAAAUCAUCUGAAGGGAGGAGCGAGAACCCAAAACUAGAGGGAGAUGGAAUCCACAAAGACAUGCUCUCGACACCUCCAGAACUAAGGAGCUAAGGAUGGUAUUGACAUCAGUCUUGUGCAAGUUAGAGAACCUUGAGCAAUACAGCACCAAAGAAGGAGAAGGAUAUUGCAUUAAAUGAAAGAACAACCAGGACACCUUAUAAGGCUAAACAAUCACAGGUGAUGCACUGGAAGGCAUGGCUGUGACACUGGUGGCAGUAGCAGUUCCCUGUCAAUCAUAUAAUCACCAGAGUAAACAUUGGACACUCUCCACUGCUCUGUACUGCUAAGCUGUGCUGUUCCAUAGGCCUCUGUCACUUGAUGGACCCUCUAUCUAGAAUGUUCUUCCACGGGAAAAAAAAAGAACAGCUUUCACUCAGUGGCUUCCUGCUGAGAACUCUCCAAUUGUCACUGCCUUGCUGGACACUCCAUUUACAAUUACAGCCCAAGCUCUUCCUGUUCUUCCUCCUUGCUCGAUGUUCCUCUAAGGUUCUUCAGCUGAUACAAUGUGGACUAGCUCAAUCCAUCUCCAGCAUCUGCAGCAACCAGCAUCAACUAUUACCCAUGUUCAUUCUUCCUACUUCUUGAUGGUUAUUUAAGUAAU